AUGGAUCGACUCUCAGAGCGCCCACUACGACAAGGAGACAAUGGACACCAUGAAGGACAUCGCCCUCUCCUUCACGCUGUUCAAACUGUUGAAGCUGGCCUUUCCAAGACGCUGCGUUUCUGUCUGGAUGGCCUCCUCUCGGAACAAGGCAACUACGCCCGCGCUUUGGGGGUCGUCGAGAUGGAGUUGGCGUUCCUCUAUGAUUUCUUCUACACAAGGUUCGAUGCCAAGUUCACUGAGUACCAGACCUUGUUCGUAGCAACCGUUAUACCGACUGUCAUUGUUUGGAACUGCAUCUCGGGAGCAUUUAGCAGGCACUACCACCACAGUGAUUUGGAACAAAGAGUUCAAGGAACCGAUGUCAUCCAUUGGGUUACCAUUGUGCUGCUUGCCAUUUGGUUUAUAGUAUUCUUAACAGAGCAUUUCAUGAGUCCCAGCAGGUGGGCGGUCAUGGAAAGGCUCCAUGACGCGACUGCUGAUGAGACAACCAAGAUGAUAGGGAUGAAGAUCAACGUAUCCAGAGAGAAAAUGUCAAGUGCAAGCGGUCACUGGGAGAGUAAACUCGGGCAGUACCCCCUGUUACUCAAUUUUGACUACCACCCGUGGAAUGCACUAUCGAUUCUGUCAUUAGGUUUGGUCGAGGCAACAAGGGAAGGGCAGAAGGCCGGGGAAAAGAUCAAAUUGCGAGAGCAAGUCAUAGUGCGCGUCCUCUCUGGGUUCAAAGAGAGCAACGGGGUGCUAGAAGAUGGACAGGCGGCACUGGCAAGAAAUCAGCUGGGAAGCCAAUUCUCAUGGGCCUGCACCCUGCCCACGCACAUCCACACGAUUCUCGUAUGGCACAUUGGGACGACCAUGUCCAUGCACGGGGACGAGGAUCCCCUCAGGCUCAGGGGUAAUCGUCUUGUCGCCAAGAGCCUCUCGGAUUACUGCGCCUACCUGGUGGCUUUUGUUCCGGACAUGCUGCCCGGGCAUGGCUACCACACGCAGCGCAUCUUCGACGCGGUGGUCAUGGAAGCUCGGGAAAGCCUGGCUGGCUGUGAAACUGUGAGCAGCAGAUGUGAGAAGCUGAUGAUGAUGGUCUUGCCGGGCAGCAACAGCACCGUCCUGGAGAUGGGGGCCAGGCUUGGGAAAGAACUCAUCACUGGUGUGGUUCCAGAAGCGAGGCGAUGCAAGGUGCUGGCUGAUUUCUGGGCCGAGUUCAUACUCUUCCUCGCGCCAUCGAGAAAUGCCGAAAUCCAUGCUGAGAUGCUCGCCAAUGGCGGGGGGUUCAUGACCCAUCUGUGGGUAUUGCUCACACAUGCCGGCGUCCUAGACCGCCCCUCUGCUACCGAACCUGCGCAUGGCUCUAAUGUGUGA
This 1356-nucleotide ribosomal RNA is filed under the name Triticum aestivum (bread wheat). RNAcentral's name for it is "partial small subunit ribosomal RNA". The record is from RNAcentral. Lineage: Eukaryota; Viridiplantae; Streptophyta; Magnoliopsida; Poales; Poaceae.